AUGGAGGUGAUGACAAUUUCCCCAAAUGAUCGAAUCUGAUUAUGCUAAGCGAUUAUUAUUUUCUCUCUUCGGAGGAAAUCAAGCCAAUGUUCUGAUCCAU
Non-coding RNA from Brassica napus (rape), 100 nucleotides. The record is from Rfam. Lineage: Eukaryota; Viridiplantae; Streptophyta; Magnoliopsida; Brassicales; Brassicaceae.